Molecule: ribosomal RNA, 497 nt
Filed under: uncultured bacterium
Lineage: Bacteria
Description: partial 16S ribosomal RNA
Rfam family: Bacterial small subunit ribosomal RNA
Source: RNAcentral
GAUGAACGCUGGCGGCGUGCCUAAUACAUGCAAGUCGAGCGAACAGAUGAGGAGCUUGCUCCUCUGACGUUAGCGGCGGACGGGUGAGUAACACGUGGAUAACCUACCUAUAAGACUGGGAUAACUUCGGGAAACCGGAGCUAAUACCGGAUAAUAUAUUGAACCGCAUGGUUCAAUAGUGUAAGACGGUUUUGCUGUCACUUAUAGAUGGAUCCGCGCCGCAUUAGCUAGUUGGUAAGGUAACGGCUUACCAAGGCAACGAUGCGUAGCCGACCUGAGAGGGUGAUCGGCCACACUGGAACUGAGACACGGUCCAGACUCCUACGGGAGGCAGCAGUAGGGAAUCUUCCGCAAUGGGCGAAAGCUUGACGGAGCAACGCCGCGUGAGUGAUGAAGGUCUUCGGAUCGUAAAACUCUGUUAUUAGGGAAGAACAAAUGUGUAAGUAACUAUGCACGUCUUGACGGUACCUAAUCAGAAAGCCACGGCUAACUACGUG